Long non-coding RNA from Pseudopipra pipra, 778 nucleotides. RefSeq lists it as uncharacterized. The transcript is spliced from 3 exons. Lineage: Eukaryota; Metazoa; Chordata; Aves; Passeriformes; Pipridae. The record is from RefSeq and is a predicted model, not a curated record.
CCCAUUCCUAUGGCAGCACAUGCUUGAGGCUCUAUCCCCAGGGUGAUAGAGAUGUCUGUCCAUAUCUAUCUCCAAGGUUAGUCUGUAAAUGUGUGGUGUUAGAAAAGCAGGCUAAGUUGUGGGCUGGUUGUAGAAGGAGAAAGAAGGCCAGAGGCCAGUGCAAGCAGGCAGCCCUCAGCUUGCACAUGAUGUCCCCUCCCUGCAGGUUCCUGUCCUUGAGCCCAGGCCCUGAGGUGAGGCUGAGAAGUGGCGCGGAGGUGAGCCCAGAGCUGUCCCUGAGGUGAGGCUGAGAAUAAGUGCAAGGCAGAGGUGCUGCUGAGGAAGGACAGGCCCAUGGUGGGGAAGACAAGAAGCUGUGAGAGCCCUGAGAAGGUGCUGUGUCCAUCCCCUGUGUGCCAGGAUUUGUCCUUCCCAAAGCUUGGGCGGAUGGAGGAGGAGGCUGCGAGGAAGAGGAAGAUGCCUUGGGCCCCCCAGGCAGGCCCCGAGCUGAGGAGGGAGAGCCCAGAGGACAAAUCCCCCCGUGAGACCCUGGUGGGAGAGGCCGUUUUGAAGGGCUCCCCGGCGCAGGAAGGCAGCAGGGAGGAAAAGGGCCAGAGAUCCCCCCACAGGAGGGGCUCCAAAGCCAACCCAGGGUGCUCUGAGGAGGAAAGAGCCAGCCUGUGCCGGGAAGGCAGCUGGAGCUUGAGGGGGAGCUCUGAGCUGGUGGUCCCUGAGCAGCCUCCCAGCAGGGAGAAGCCCUUCAGGUGCUUGGAAUGUGGGAAGAGCUUCAGUAGGAGCA